GACGAACGCUGGCGGCGUGCCUAAUACAUGCAAGUAGAACGCUGAAGAGAGGAGCUUGCUCUUCUUGGAUGAGUUGCGAACGGGUGAGUAACGCGUAGGUAACCUGCCUUGUAGCGGGGGAUAACUAUUGGAAACGAUAGCUAAUACCGCAUAACAAUGGAUGACACAUGUCACUUAUUUGAAAGGGGCAAUUGCUCCACUACAAGAUGGACCUGCGUUGUAUUAGCUAGUAGGUGAGGUAAUGGCUCACCUAGGCGACGAUACAUAGCCGACCUGAGAGGGUGAUCGGCCACACUGGGACUGAGACACGGCCCAGACUCCUACGGGAGGCAGCAGUAGGGAAUCUUCGGCAAUGGGGGCAACCCUGACCGAGCAACGCCGCGUGAGUGAAGAAGGGUUUCGGAUCGUAAAGCUCUGUUGUAAGUCAAGAACGGGUGUGAGAGUGGAAAGUUCACACUGUGACGGUAGCUUACCAGAAAGGGACGGCUAACUACGUG
This 497-nucleotide ribosomal RNA is filed under the name uncultured bacterium. Its description in RNAcentral is "partial 16S ribosomal RNA". It matches the Rfam family "Bacterial small subunit ribosomal RNA", at positions 28 to 507 of the family's 1533-position model. The record is from RNAcentral.